This 468-nucleotide ribosomal RNA is filed under the name uncultured bacterium. RNAcentral's name for it is "partial 16S ribosomal RNA". It matches the Rfam family "Bacterial small subunit ribosomal RNA", at positions 28 to 507 of the family's 1533-position model. The record is from RNAcentral.
GAUGAACGCUGGCGGCGUGCCUAACACAUGCAAGUCGAACGGAAAGGCCCUGCUUUUGUGGGGUGCUCGAGUGGCGAACGGGUGAGUAACACGUGAGUAACCUGCCCUUGUCUUUGGGAUAAAUUCAGGAAAAUGGGGCUAAUAUCGGAUAGGAUCUCCUGCUCCAUGGGGGGGGUUGGAAAGUUUCGGCGGUUGGGGAUGGACUCGCGGCUUAUCAGCUAGUUGGUGGGGUAGUGGCUUUCCCAGGCUUUGACGGAUAGGCGGCCUGUGAGGGUGGACGGCGACAAGAGGACUGAGAGACGGACCAGACUCCAACGGGAGGCAACAGUGGGAAAUAUUACACAGUGAGCGGGAGCCUGAGACAGAAGCGCCGCGUGCGGGAAGACGGCCUUCGGGUUGUAAACCGCUUUCGCCUGUGACGAAGCGUGAGUGACGGUAAUGGGUAAAGAAGCACCGGCUAACUACGUG